Molecule: RNA transcript, 648 nt
Organism: Solanum verrucosum
Lineage: Eukaryota; Viridiplantae; Streptophyta; Magnoliopsida; Solanales; Solanaceae
Exons: 3
Source: RefSeq, a predicted model, not a curated record
AAUCCUGAGAGUGUCCCAAGAAGAAAGAGAUCAGAGCGUAGAAAACACAUUUUGUCACCUGUUGAAAGACUCUAGAGGCAACUUCAUACUAAUCUACAGGAGCCAGACUUUGAAAAUCUCUGUCGAUGAUGAAAAUAUUCUAAUUUAUGCAAGGAACAAAUACAUUCCUCCUAAUGAGAUUGUUCUUGGAGCUAUGCUGCUUGUAUCACCACCUACUACUACAGAACACUCUAUGUCUCUAUCUCCAAUGGCAGUUGCUGGAAGUAAGUUUUGAGAAGCAUGCAUAAGGUUCAAGCUGGAGCAUUCACUGAGCGAGAGGCAUUUUCUUCACAGAUGUACUGCUGAUAGUCUUGAGCAUUAUAUAAUGCUAGUUAUCGUAUCUACUUGUGCUGAUGGAGCAUCAGAUACUUAUUGCAGAAAGUUAAAUUUGUUCAAGGAAGCUCUGAAGCUACUUGGAUGGGACAUAUGUCCUUCAAGAUCAUGUUCACGAUCACUAAAGCAGCUCGGGAGCACCUGUUCUUUGGAAAAUCUAGUUGGGGUUAAUUAUUGGCUUUAACGAAGCUCUAUUUUAUUACUAGGCUUCUACUUCCAGGGCAACUCAACUGACGAAGUUGGCCGUUAAACUCUGUUUUAUAUUGAACCGAUAGU